GACGCUGAGGCGCGAAAGUGUGGGGAGCAAACAGGAUUAGAUACCCUGGUAGUCCACACUGUAAACGAUGAAUGCUAGGUGUAGGGGGUAUCGACCCCUUCUGUGCCGCAGUAAACACAAUAAGCAUUCCGCCUGGGGAGUACGGCCGCAAGGUUGAAACUCAAAGGAAUUGACGGGGGCCCGCACAAGCAGCGGAGCAUGUGGUUUAAUUCGACGCAACGCGAAGAACCUUACCAGGUCUUGACAUCCAGUAAAAGCCAUAGAGAUAUGGUGUGUCUUCGGACAUACUGAGACAGGUGGUGCAUGGUUGUCGUCAGCUCGUGUCGUGAGAUGUUGGGUUAAGUCCCGCAACGAGCGCAACCCUUGCUGAUAGUUACUAACAGGUAAAGCUGAGGACUCUAUUAGGACUGCCGGGGACAACUCGGAGGAAGGUGGGGACGACGUCAAAUCAUCAUGCCCCUUAUGACCUGGGCUACACACGUGCUACAAUGGCCGUUACAAAGAGGUGCAAAGCCGUAAGGUGGAGCAGAUCUCAAAAAAGCGGUCUCAGUUCGGAUUGUGGGCUGCAACCCGCCCACAUGAAGUCGGAGUGCUAGUAAU
This 600-nucleotide ribosomal RNA is filed under the name uncultured bacterium. RNAcentral describes it as "bacterial SSU rRNA". It matches the Rfam family "Bacterial small subunit ribosomal RNA", at positions 742 to 1342 of the family's 1533-position model. The record is from RNAcentral.